This 569-nucleotide ribosomal RNA is filed under the name uncultured fungus. Its description in RNAcentral is "eukaryotic LSU rRNA". The stretch from base 218 to 371 matches the Rfam family "5.8S ribosomal RNA". The record is from RNAcentral. Lineage: Eukaryota; Fungi.
AAGUCGUAACAAGGUCUCCGUAGGUGAACCUGCGGAGGGAUCAUUACCGAGUGAGGGCGCCUCGCGCGUCCGACCUCCCAACCCUUUGAUCUGAUCAAGACCUCCUAUCUGCCUCGGGGGCGACCCGGACCCACGCGGGUGCGCGGUCCCCCCGGCGGUAACCUCAUCCAACCCUCGCAUCAAUUGUCGUCGGAGUAAUGAAGUUUAAUUCAAUUAAAACUUUCAACAACGGAUCUCUUGGUUCUGGCAUCGAUGAAGAACGCAGCGAAAUGCGAUAAGUAAUGUGAAUUGCAGAAUUCAGUGAAUCAUCGAAUCUUUGAACGCACAUUGCGCCCUUUGGCAUUCCGAAGGGCAUGCCUGUUCGAGCGUCAUUACACCAAUCAAGCCUGGCUUGGUAUUGGGCGACGGGGACCCUCCCGGGGGCCCCCCGCCCCAAUGACUCCGGCGGGACGGACCGAAUCUCAGCGUUGUGAAUCUCAUCCGCUGGCGAGACGGGACGGCCGUGCCGUUAAACAACCCCUUUAUCACAGGUUGACCUCGGAUCAGGUAGGGAUACCCGCUGAACUUAU